CUUAACUGGACCACAGGAUGCCCAGACUUUUAGCCAAACAUUAUCCUGUGUGUGUCUGGGAGACUGUUUCUGGAUGACAUGGACAUUUGAAUCCAUAGACUGAGUAAAGCAGAUUGCCCUCCCGAAUGGAGGUAGGCCUCAUCUAGUGAGGUGAAGACGUGACUACAAUGAAAAGGCUGAGUAAGAGGGAAUGCGUCCUACCUGACUUGUUUGAGUUGGGAUCAUGGUCUUUCUCAGCCUUCAGACUCGGACUGAAACAGCAGCUCUUCUUGGAUCUCCAGCCUGCCGACUUUCAGCUUGGAACUUAUGCCAUCAGCUCUCAUGGUUCUCAGACCUUCAGACUUGAACUAGAACUACAAACCAGUUUUCCUGGGUCUCCAACUUGUGGACUGCACGUCUUGGGACUUCUCAGCCUCCCUAAUUGUAGCAGAGAAUGUUGAAUAUACGUUGAAGAUGCAUUUGAAAGAGAAGCUAAUACAUGGAGCAAGAACUGAAAGCAGAAAGAAGAUGGAUCAAGAGGACAGAUGGGGAAUCAAUAAAAAUAUGAAUGGAGAACAUCUUCUAUGGGCAUCGGUAGCUUUCCCCACCAAAACCAGGACCCAGGGCUCCAACAUAUGACACAUAAGACUUUGCCCUGAACUGGGAGGCAGAAAAUCUAGGAUCUAGCUCUGGUCCUGUCUGCAGAAAGCGAGAAGGAGCUGACAAAAUGAAUGCCCACUAUUCUCCAGAGUUCUCCUGCCAACCACAGACCAAGAAUCUUCCCCAUCGAUAUCAAAGCGGAGAAGAACAACUGCCAUGAGAGAAUGACAAACUGCAGCCAGGACUGCGUAUGGACAGCGAGCUAGUUCUCACAGAAGCUUUCAGCCUGCUGGUUACACAGGCUCGUUGCUAUUUUGAUCUUUUCAUUAACUUCACAGUAAUACAAUUCCACAUUUUAAACAACUGAAUUUUGAUAUCUCACUUGCUUUAUGGUAGAGUUUUGCUGUGGUGUGUUAUGGUUUCCUUUUUGUUUUUUUAAAACAUUUCAACUAUGAAAGAUGGAGAAUUCAUUCUGAUGUAAAGUCUGAAGUCUGAAUGAAUUUGGCCUUUUUCAGAUAGACAGCAAACGCUCCCACUGUGAUUUAUACUUAGGAGAUAAUGUUUCCCCACUGGUACAAAAUGCCACCUUUAUCACAUGCUAUAUUCUGUAUGUGAUAUAUAUAUAUAUCUCAUAUAUGAGAUGGAUUUUUUUUCUAGACUUGCUAUUCUGUCCAUGAUAUGUCUAGUCAACUGACUAUCCCAUUGUUUUAGCUCUUGUAGUUUUAUAAUAUACCAAUAUCUUGUAAAAUUAUUACCCCCCCACCAUUAAUUCUACUUUUCCCCCUAUUAUUUUCUGGCUUUUCUUCCAUAUUUUUCAGUGAACUUGAGAGUCAUCUUGUUUAAUUUAAAAUACUAUUUUUAUUUGAAUAAUACUAAAUUUAUGGAUUAUACCUUGGUGAAAAGCAGCAUAUUCAAUGCUGAGUUUUAUUAUCUAAAUAUGCAAUAUGUUUUCUAUUUGUUAAUGUCUUUUUUGGGCCCCUCAAUAUUGAUUUAAAAUUUUCUUCAUAUUGAUCUUGUACCUAUCAUAGAAAGUUUGUUCCUAGGUAUUUAAUUUUUUUGAUGGAAUUGAAAUAGAGUCUUUCACAAAUGUGUUUUCUAACUGGUGGUUGCCUGAAUGACAACUAUUAAUUUUGUUCCAGAAAACUUACUAAAUUUCCUUAUUGUUUUUAAAGUUUGGAGUUUUUUUUUUUUUUUUAGUAAUUCUCUUGUUCUGUCCAAAUAGACUAUCAAAUUAUGUACAAAUAUUGAUAAAUUUAUCUCUUCCUUGCCAAUAUUUAUAACUCUAAUUUCUUCCUUUGUCUAAUAGUUUGACUAGGACAUCCAGUUCAAUAUUAAAUAAUAGCAAUUGCAGACAUUUCCAAGUUUAAUGCAACUUGUUCUAGUGUUUCAACCUUAAGCUUAAUCCUGCCAUUGGUGUUGAAGCAGAUACAUUUUGUCAGAAAAGCAUGCAUCUAUCUCUAUUUUAAGAAUUUUUAUCAAAAAAGGAGUUGGCAUUUUAUAAAAUAUUUUUUCAUAUUCUUGUUUACUAACUCUUCUAGAAUCAGAUUUGGUGGAUUAUAUUUUCCCAAAAAAUUAUUCCUUUAAUCUAGAUUUUCACAUUUGUGUGCGAAAUGGGGAAUGGAAGAAAGUAAUCUCAUAAAACUCCUUUCACUUCCUUUUCAUUUGUGAUUAUUUCUUACAUAUUUUUUUGUUCGGAGUAUAUGUGUUUUUCCCUCUUCUUGAUUGAAUUAGAUACAAGUGUAUCUCUUAUUUUUUCCAAAGAACUAGCAAAUCAAUUUAUUUAUCAGUUCUACCAUUUUCUGUUAAUCAGAAAUCCACCCUUCUUCUCCCAUUUGUUUUACAUUAUCUUCUUCCCUAUUUUUCCCAUGGGUUUAAUUUAUUGCUUUCCUGGGCCUGUCAUGUCUUCCUUUCUUUGUCCCUGAUGAGAGUCUACUCAUACUUCUGUAGCUCAGCUCAGAUAAUACUUUCUCUGACCCCUUCAUCAGAAGCAGUCAUCCCUCAUCUCUGCUUCCACGGGUUCUGUACACACUUAGUUUGUGGUAUCUUUUAUACUUUAUCUUAAUUUUCUCUAUAGCUUCUCUAACUACACUGCUUGUAAUAUGAUGCCACUCAAGUAAUGUUCAAUAAUGAAGCAAUAAUAUAGGUACAUACAAUGCUUACUUUUCUUAUCUAUCUUCUUAUCUACAUCUAGAAUACUUAUUUAUAGAGCUUAAAAUUCAGCGAAAUGCAUUAGAACAAUAGACAGUGAAGAUAGUUAUUCACAGAAAAGUUCUCUACACUAUGGAUCAGUUAUAUCCUAAUUUAUCUUUCUACUUUUGACAAAAUGGAACUGAAUUUGUUUUAUUUUAAAAAGAAAGAUAUCAAACCAUGGACCUCCUUUUCAACGUGGGUUGAAUUUUAUCAGACUUUUUUUCAACAAGCAAAGUUUUCAUAAUCAUGGACUUUCUUUAGACUAAUUUUCUUUAAAGAUUUAUAUAUAUAUAUAUAAAAUCAUUUGGCCAUUGAUCAAAAAAAAUGCCCCCACACAUAAUAUAAUUUUAGAUGUAUCAUAAAAACUUCUCUAUCCCUAGGAUACCUUUUUCAUUAGGCUCAUUGAAGCCCGAAAAUCCAGUUUGAGAUACAUUCCUUUGACUAAAGAUUACUUUUAUCUCUCAAAAUGGAAAGCUUUUGGAAAAUAAUGUACAUUAUCAAAUAAUCAAAAAUUCAUAUUCAUCUACUUUAUACAAAUGCUUUGAAGUUUAAAUUUAUUGCGUCAUUUCCAUGGAGUCUCCAGUUAUGUUGGUCUUAAGAAAGGAAAAUUAAACAGCAUAUUGUGUGUAAGGGAUUGAGAAAAGGAAGGCUGAGGACAUGAAAGUUUCCUUACCCUAUGUAUUUGUUCAUAGCUAUCAUCUUUUUUAGCCCAGUGGACCAAGCACUGUAUUAAUGUAAGGUCCAGAGUAUGUUGUUUAACCUUCAAAAACCAGAUGGCAUCUAUUUAUUCAAAUUAACAAAUAUUUAUUAAAUGCCUACUGUGUGCUUGCCACUUUUCUAGGUGCUUGGGAUACAGCAGUGAACCAAACAACAACAAAUCCCUGUCCCACUGGAUUUCACAUUCUACUAGGAAAAGUCAAAUAAUAAACAGUGAUCAUAAGAAGUAAACAAAUUACAUAUUUUUUCAGAGAGUGAUGAGUGCUACGGAAAAAUAGAGCAGCUUAAGGGGAGGAUCAAGGGUGCUAGAGGUGGGGGAGGUGACAAUUUUAAAUGAGAUGGUCAAGGGAAGCCUCACUGAAUUUAUAAUAUAAGAAACCUCAAAAGUUUCAGGGUAAGGGAAGUUGACCAAAGAACAUCUAGAGAAAACAGUGUUCUUUAUGGAAGGAACCGCCAGUGCAAAGGCACUAAGACAAGGACAUGCUUGGCAUGUUCAAGUAGCACAGGGAAGCUAGUGUGGUUGGAAUGAGAGAGCAGAGGGGGCAUAGAGAAAAGAGAGGGGUCAGAGAGAUACUGGGGUGAGGAGUGGAGCAGGUGGCCUUGUAGGAAUUGGCUUUUACUCUGAGUGAGAUAUGAAACUAUUGGAAGGCUUUAAACGGAAGACUGACAUGAUCUGAUUUAUGGAUUACUCUGACUCUGUAUUAAGAAUAAACUAUAGUGAGCCAAGAGGAGAGGCAGGGAAACUGGUUAGACAACUAUUGCGAUAAUCUAGGUAAAGAUGAUGGUUUGAGACUGAGGUAGACCACAGGAAGUGGUAAGAAAUGAUCAGGUAUAUUUUGGAGGUAGAAUUGGCUGGUGGAUUAGAUGUGGGGUAUGAGAAAAAGAGCAGGAAAAAGGUUGACUGCAAAAAUUUGGGCCUGGAAUCAUCAUCAAAUGAUGGGUGGAAGACCGCAGGUAGAGGACCUUGCAGGGAGUGGACCAGAAGCUCCAUUUUGGACAUGUUAAGUUUGAUAUCUCCAUCAGUCAUCCGAAAGGAGGUUUUCAGUAGACAAUUUGGUAGUCAAGUCUGAAGUUCAGAAGAGAGGUCUGGGCUAAAGAUACAAAUUUGGGGGGCUGGCCCCGUGGCCGAGUGGUUAAGUUCGUGCGCUCUGCUGCAGGCGGCCCAGUGUUUCGUUGGUUCGAAUCCUGGGAGCGGACAUGGCACUGCUCGUCAGACCACGCUGAGGCAGCGUCCCACAUACCACAACUAGAAGAACCCACAACGAAGAAUACACAACUAUGUACCAGGGGGCUUUGGGGAGAAAAAGGAAAAAAUAAAAUCUUUAAAAAAAAAAUUAAAAAAAUAAAAAAAAAAUAAAGAUACAAAUUUGGGAGUUUAUGGUGUAUACAUAGAAUUUAAAUUCACAAGACAGGUCGAAAUUUCCAGGAGAGGGAAUGUAUAUGGACAAGAAGAAAAAAAACUAAACUCUAUGGCUCUUCAACAUCGAGAGUUUGAGGAGAAGAGGAGAAACCAGUAAGAGGAAACCAAGGAGCAGCACCCAGUGGGGUGAGAGGAAAACCCGGAGUGUGGUGUCCUUGAAAACAGAAGAAAAAAUCAUGUCUGGAAAGAAGGAGACCUUGACCCUCCCAAAUGCAGCUGACAUGUUAAGUAAGAUGAGUCCUAAGUUUUGACCAUACACGGAUUUAGCAGCAUGAAUGUUAUUGGUGACCACAGAGACAAUAGAUGCCUUGAUGGGGGUAACAUCUUGAUUGGAGGGACUUUAGGAGGUAGAGAGAGACAGUGAGCAUAGGCAAUUAUUUCAAAGAAUUAGAUACAAUUAUUAAGACUGUUUUACAAAGACCCAAAGAGGGUUUUUACUUGCCUAAGUUCAUAAUAUUAGCAAGUAGAGCUGGGACCUAAAAUCAGGUUUGCUUGAAUCCAGAAUCUGCUCUCUUCACCACCAUCCUAUACUGUCUGAGAUCUGCCCUGGUCACAGACAUAAUAAUUCAGUGAAGGAAGAAACAGACUAGAAGCGGCCAUUUAGCUCUUGUCUUCUGUGUUUUCCCACCAAGAUUUCAGACCAGUAUUCCUACAACCUUCCACGGCAUAAAUUCCCUUCUCACUUUCUAGUGCCAUUCUCUGUGUCACCUUUUUAUCACCUCACUUGUGUAACCAUUUAUUCUCACUCAUCCAAUUCCUUCCUCUUUAAGAACAAAUUAUCUUGUUUUCUUCUAUGUCCAAUUAGUAUAUUCAGUGUUUCCAGAUCUCUAAAUUCAUGCUUUAUUUGUCACUUAUCUAGAAAUAAAAGUCCUUCAGUCCAUUUCCUCUACCCAGUAGACUCUGUCUGCUAAGAUCUAAAAUAAAUCCACCGCUGAACCUGGCUAAGAGGUUAAGAUACCUCAUAGAGUCGGAAAAUAGAACAAAGAAUAGAAAAUAGAGUGAAGAAACUUUGUGUGUCUGUAUAUGGUUGGGGGUGGGGGAAGUGACAGGUAACCAACAAACCAGGCUGAAAAUAGGACUCCAGAGUAAGUUAGAUUUCUAGCAACAUCUCCAGCAGUGUUCGCAGAAAAUGGAUCCAAGAGUGGAUAAAAGCACAUGGUCCAUAGCAUGACAAAGAGAGGAAUCAAAAAAAUCAUGUUGCACGAAAAAAGACUAUCAGGACACACAAAGUGAGGACAAGGAAUGAGUCUGGUAACCACCGACUUGGGCCAAUCAGAUAGCAAAUAACAUUGCGAGAAUGAGCCCUUGAGCACAUAUGACUUGGCAUGAAGUGUCUUGCUUUUGCUUCUCUUCACAUGGCAUAUCUUCAAGUGGCUAUGGCUUAUUUUUUCCAUAAAGUACUACCAAAAGCUCCUCCUCAAACUGGAAAUUCAUAGUCAUAGUAACAAGCUCAAUAUAAACAGAGCCUCUGUUUUACAAUGCACUCUGUUCUGGGUCACUUGAAACACUGAUUUCUUCACGGAUGCUAUCAUCCUUUCCUGACACGAUAGCUCUAAUCAUAAUAUGCGUCUUUGCAACAUGCAGAUGUGUCCAUGACGCAUAUAUGCCUUUUUCAGCCUGAUUCUGCGUACACAGAGCUCUUCCGUGUGUGUUGCCCACCGUCUCAAUGAGAGCCCAUGACUCACGAUCUGUGGCUUUGAGUCAUGCUCUGAAGUGAUGUGAAUUAGUCUUAAUUUGGUGCUUUUCAGUUAUCAGUAUAAGCCCUGCCUGCUGAGAGCUUUGUUUUGUUUUCCUUGCUAGCACUUGGAACUCCCUUAAUUGGUAGUUGAUAACUUCCACAGUGUGUAUUUUACAUGGAGGAGUGAAAGUUGGCCCAAUUGUAAGCAAAAAGAACAAAACAAAUUGGCACCGAAUAGAAAGUGUAUUGUGAAAGAACUAACGGCUGGGAAAAGCAGAGAUUUUGUAGAUAAAACGUUGCUUGUUUGCUUCAUUGUAAAGCAAGUGACUUCACCCUCUAAUCGCAGAUCACAAAUGAAGGUGACAACCCUGGAGAACUUGACAGAUAAGGGAGGGAGAGAUGGGAGGGAGAAGCCUCAUCCAUUUAUGUGUCCACAUGUAUGUCUCUGAGAUGAAAUUGUUGUACCAGAAAAGGGAGAAUUGAAUAGAAUAGGAGGAUAACAUUCAAGCCUCAAGUGCCUCUACCACAUCCUGGUGCCCAGACAAAAAAUAAUCUGAGGUUGUAACAUCAUUUUACGUCCUGACAUAGUCUGGUAUUUAAAAGGUUUUAUGAACUAAAAGCAUCUGAGAACCUGAGAAAUGCGCCUAAAAUUGAACUAUCUGGUUUAGGAAACACGUAGACAAUGGUCUGAGUGAUUCACUUUUGUGUUAGAACAGAGAGGAGGAGAACUUGUAUAUUUGUUAAAGUGUUUACAUAGACAGAAGAUCUUGAAAGUGUGCCUAUCAUUUUCUUUUUUUUUUCGCUAUUGCCCUACCCUUGUUUAAUCUUCACUGGUUUUCUGUGGUCGUUUUUUCAGUAAAGAAAGUUUAUUUUUUGCUAAAUGUUUCAGCUAGAUUUUCAGACUUUUGAGUAAGAAAUUCUUUGUAUCCUGGGAAUUCUACAGUCUCUUAUUCAUAAUAGUUUUAUACACAAUUGAUACUUCAUGGAUAACUCAGAAUUAAUUUUUAUUUGAUGCUGUAAAUAUUAUAUCUCUUUUCCAGAAAAUUCGUCUGUGUUCAGUCUACAUCAAGAUAUUAAUAAAAUGAGAAGGUCAAAUGUUAUUCAGCAUCCAAGAUAAAACCAGUCUGUGGUUCCACACUCUAUAUAUAUUACAGAUGUGACUAAUUCAGAAGUAGAUUGCUCUUGCAUAGACAUACAUUAUGUUCCACUUUAAUAAAAAUAGAUCUAUUUCUCUUUCGUUUGUUCCUUCUUCCUUUUACUUUGCUUUUGAAAAAUAUUCAUGGAGUCUCAGCUAUUGUGUAGGAAUCGUGAUAAAAGUCAUAAAUAAAGCAGUAAACAAGAAAACAGACAUUUCCCUUGCUCUCAUGGACCUUAACAUCUAGAGAGAUGGCCAGUUAUUAAAGAAAUCCUUGUACAAUACCAAUUGUCAGCAUCAUACAGAAAAGCACAAGGAAGUGAGUGAAGCUUCCCUGAGGAAACGCUAGAGCUAGGACCUGGUACAAGAAGAAUAAAGCCAGCCAUUACCGAGGAGAUUUGGGGUGGGUCCAUUCCAAGCUGAAGUUUGUAUAGUGGUCAGGCUCAUGGACAAGCAUAGACUGUUCUGUCCUACCCUGAACCAAAAUCUGGAGAUGCCACAAAGCUAAAAAGGAAUUUAAAGAAUCCCAGAAUCUAAAUCAAAGACUGUGAAAAGUCCUUGGAGAAUCAGAAGGUAGGUCAGGUCCCACAGAACCUGGAGGAAAGCUUUCUAGUUCUGUACUUUUCUCUCCUCACAUUUUACUGGCCAGUUCAGUGCCCAUGCCACCAUACAGGAUUCAAGGAGUGGACAGAAAC
Molecule: long non-coding RNA, 8414 nt
Organism: Equus asinus (donkey)
Lineage: Eukaryota; Metazoa; Chordata; Mammalia; Perissodactyla; Equidae
Source: Ensembl